This is a non-coding RNA of Myodes glareolus (Bank vole), 944 nucleotides long. The record is from RefSeq and is a predicted model, not a curated record. Lineage: Eukaryota; Metazoa; Chordata; Mammalia; Rodentia; Cricetidae.
GGCCCUCCUCGCCCGGCUGGCCAUUCUCGGGUGGCAGCCGCCUCCAGACCCAUUUUUGCGGGUUCACUGCCGCCGGAGGGCGGGGCCGGCUGAGACAGGGCAGAGGGCGCGCAGUUCCGUGACUUGGGGCUUUUCCUUUCCAGCCGCAGAGCCCAAGCACACUGAAUAUUGACACAAAGACCGCUCUGAAACCAAGGUCUGAAACCAUUUUUACGCUGGUGAAACGGCGAAGCCUGCACAGCCAAAGUGAAGUAGAGAAAGUCGUGACGCCCAGGUUCUGCAAAGGUUCCGCAAAUAAUCCAGAGAGAUUAACAUUGGCUCCUCCCAGGAGAGAAGUGAAUUAUUCAGCUUUUCUCUUUGGACUGUGCGUCUCUUCAUUUGGCCGGAGGAGCAAAAAGAUCUAAACUGCUUACAGAGAGUUUUAGAAGAAUAUAACAGUAAUUAUUAAAGACUGUCUGUGCUCCAGUCCUGGUGGAACAGUGACAAGGCACUCCUCAGAAUGCUGCCUUCCCGUUGUAUCUUGCUCCGCAGCAAGAUGCUACUGACCAUACAAUAGGCUUGGGGAGAGCCAGAAAACACUGAUGGAGAAACGCAAGCUUGACGAUAUCAUAAAAAUAUUCCUCAUCACUUUGUUUUGGUAGCCAGUAUGCUUCUGUUUAGGCCCUUUUGGAUUAUGUUAAUUAUGUUUUAUAAUUUUUGUAAUGGUCCAAGACUGCCACAUAAAUACCGGACAGGAUUUCUACAACAGAAGGGAUUCAUGGGAAGGGUAAGACAUAAUUGUAUGCUUCUAUAGCUAAUCCAGCUUCCUAAAUCAUGCAAGAGGGGAACACGUGUAAGUACUAGCUCUGUAAUACUGGAAGAUUUAGUUUAACUGCUUGUAAAAUAAAGAUAAUUUCGUGUUGCUUCAAACAGGGAAUUCAAUAAAUGUGAAGCUAUUUGAAGUC